RNAcentral lists this transfer RNA (73 nucleotides) under Rhamnusium bicolor. RNAcentral's name for it is "tRNA-OTHER". The record is from RNAcentral. Lineage: Eukaryota; Metazoa; Arthropoda; Insecta; Coleoptera; Cerambycidae.
GGCUUCGUGGUCUAGUGGUAAGGGCACUUGCUUCUCACCCUGGAGUCCCAGGUUCGAUCCAUGGUCGAGGAGA